GAAGAUUUUUAAGGUGUGCGAGGUAACGUUUGCGAAGCCACAUGGCAAGGUACGCCGCACCGCAGUCGCAGUGCCACGGAUUUCGUGCAAGACGCAAUUGUUGAAUGUCAAUCAUAGCGUCGAGUAUUCGUGCUGGAAUACAGCGACAGGGUCCUUCGGCACAAAUUUCCCAAUCGCCAAGUCGUCCUCUGAUUUGCCAGACUGAUAACAACAAUGAUAACGGAUUAAUUAUGAUUUAACAGAGCAUACAAUGUAUUUCGAUACAACCGAUGUUCUGUACAAUUUACAAUGAGGUUAUAUAAUGAUCCGAACAAUGAUGUAGCAUCAAAACACGCGCUCAAAAAUUCUGGACACAAGGUACAACAAGAGAUCGAUAACAAACAUAGAAAAAAUAUAAUCCGAGGGGUAAAAUACAUGGCGAUGGCUUUCGGACGAAAAUUAUCAAGACUGAUCCGUACUAAGUGCACGUUGUGCCCGACUAACCAUGGACCAGUCGCAUCCUCAUUGAAACGGUUAUUAAUUUGAUAAUUAUUGUUAUGACAGGAACAAACGAUGAUGGGUUCAUAAUGGAGAUUGAGGUCCGAUUACACAGAUUCAUAUUGUCAUAUUGAAUAUACGUACGUUUCAACAAUA
Long non-coding RNA from Cephus cinctus (wheat stem sawfly), 633 nucleotides. RefSeq lists it as uncharacterized. The record is from RefSeq and is a predicted model, not a curated record. NCBI's taxonomy places the organism in Eukaryota, Metazoa, Arthropoda, Insecta, Hymenoptera, Cephidae. The transcript has 3 exons.